This 77-nucleotide transfer RNA is filed under the name Alphaproteobacteria bacterium. RNAcentral's name for it is "tRNA-Arg". It matches the Rfam family "tRNA". Rfam says of the family: Transfer RNA (tRNA) molecules are approximately 80 nucleotides in length. Their secondary structure includes four short double-helical elements and three loops (D, anti-codon, and T loops). The record is from RNAcentral. Lineage: Bacteria; Pseudomonadati; Pseudomonadota; Alphaproteobacteria. RNAcentral also lists the same sequence under 1 other name.
GCGCCGGUAGCUCAGCUGGAUAGAGCACCAGACUACGAAUCUGGGGGUCAGGGGUUCGAAUCCCUUCCGGCGCACCA